UUCAUUUUGACGUUUAGCUGCAGAAGAAGCACCGGCUAACUCCGUGCCAGCAGCCGCGGUAAUACGGAGGGUGCGAGCGUUAAUCGGAAUUACUGGGCGUAAAGCGCAUGCAGGUGGUUUGUUAAGUCAGAUGUGAAAGCCCCGGGGCUCAACCUCGGAAUUGCAUUUUGAAACUGGCAAACUAGAGUACUGUAGAGGGGGGUAGAAUUUCAGGUGUAGCGGUGAAAUGCGUAGAGAUCUGAAGGAAUACCGGUGGCGAAGGCGGCCCCCCUGGACAGAUACUGACACUCAGAUGCGAAAGCGUGGGGAGCAAACAGGAUUAGAUACCCUGGUAG
This 335-nucleotide ribosomal RNA is filed under the name uncultured bacterium. Its description in RNAcentral is "bacterial SSU rRNA". It matches the Rfam family "Bacterial small subunit ribosomal RNA", at positions 463 to 793 of the family's 1533-position model. The record is from RNAcentral.